AUGCUCGCUUUAGCAGCACGUAUACUAAAAAUGGAACAAUGCAGAGGUUAGCAUGGCAAGGAGGACACACAACUUCUUGAAACAUUUCAUCUUUAA
This 96-nucleotide small nuclear RNA is filed under the name Salvator merianae (Argentine black and white tegu). Lineage: Eukaryota; Metazoa; Chordata; Lepidosauria; Squamata; Teiidae. The record is from RNAcentral.